ACCCUAGAGAUAGGGCGUUCCCCUUCGGGGGACAGAGUGACAGGUGGUGCAUGGUUGUCGUCAGCUCGUGUCGUGAGAUGUUGGGUUAAGUCCCGCAACGAGCGCAACCCUUGAUCUUAGUUGCCAGCAUUCAGUUGGGCACUCUAAGGUGACUGCCGGUGACCAAACCGGAGGAAGGUGGGGAUGACGUCAAAUCAUCAUGCCCCUUAUGACCUGGGCUACACACGUGCUACAAUGGAUGGAACAAAGGGUCGCGAAGCCGCGAGGUGAAGCCAAUCCCAUAAAUCCAUUCUCAGUUCGGAUUGCAGGCUGCA
Molecule: ribosomal RNA, 314 nt
Filed under: Bacillus sp. AN38
Lineage: Bacteria; Bacillati; Bacillota; Bacilli; Caryophanales; Bacillaceae
Description: bacterial SSU rRNA
Rfam family: Bacterial small subunit ribosomal RNA
Source: RNAcentral